This 496-nucleotide ribosomal RNA is filed under the name uncultured bacterium. Its description in RNAcentral is "partial 16S ribosomal RNA". It matches the Rfam family "Bacterial small subunit ribosomal RNA", at positions 28 to 507 of the family's 1533-position model. The record is from RNAcentral.
GAUGAACGCUGGCGGCGUGCCUAAUACAUGCAAGUCGAGCGAACGGACGAGAAGCUUGCUUUUCUGAUGUUAGCGGCGGACGGGUGAGUAACACGUGGAUAACCUACCUAUAAGACUGGGAUAACUUCGGGAAACCGGAGCUAAUACCGGAUAAUAUUUUGAACCGCAUGGUUCAAAAGUGAAAGACGGUCUUGCUGUCACUUAUAGAUGGAUCCGCGCUGCAUUAGCUAGUUGGUAAGGUAACGGCUUACCAAGGCAACGAUGCAUAGCCGACCUGAGAGGGUAAUCGGCCACACUGGAACUGAGACACGGUCCAGACUCCUACGGGAGGCAGCAGUAGGGAAUCUUCCGCAAUGGGCGAAAGCCUGACGGAGCAACGCCGCGUGAGUGAUGAAGGUCUUCGGAUCGUAAAACUCUGUUAUUAGGGAAGAACAUAUGUGUAGUAACUGUGCACAUCUUGACGGUACCUAAUCAGAAAGCCACGGCUAACUACGUG